GCUAACUAAAAUUUGUUAUCUAUAUAAUUUUAUUAUUUUAGAAGUCAAAAUAAUAGCAUUAGUUCAAUGCACUUCUCCUUGACUCCAUCUGUCAUUUUUGAUAGCAGGACAUGAAAUGAUGAUGAAUAGAAAAAUUAUCUGGUUGGCAGUGUUGGUGAGAUAAAUUAUAAUGACCUAUUCAAUAGCGACAAAAUAGAUAAAUCGUUCGAUAAACUGAUCAGUCUGGGUAUAAAGGGAGAAUCACUUACAGCUUAGUUAACAGGUGUCGAACAUUUCAAUGCAUUUCUUUAUAAAACAAAAAAGAUAAUGGAAGACAACUUCAACAAAUUACAAAUAGUGUUAGACGAUUAUACGAAACGAUCAUCAAUCACCCAAAGAAGCAAGAAUGUAGUUAAUCGCCGUAAAUAUGUAAAAAUGGCACAAACACCGGACGAAAUCUUUUCCUGGCUGAACAAUGUAGAGAGCUUAAUUAUACCUACCCUAACCAACAGUAUUCCUGUAUCCACAGAAGAGAUUAAU
Molecule: long non-coding RNA, 519 nt
Filed under: Androctonus crassicauda
Lineage: Eukaryota; Metazoa; Arthropoda; Arachnida; Scorpiones; Buthidae
Source: RNAcentral